Molecule: microRNA precursor, 59 nt
Filed under: Mus musculus (house mouse)
Lineage: Eukaryota; Metazoa; Chordata; Mammalia; Rodentia; Muridae
Description: Mmu-Mir-1934_pre stem-loop
Source: RNAcentral
UCUGGUCCCCUGCUUCGUCCUCUGUCCAGAUGUUAAGAGGAUGACGGUGGGGCUGGUGA